UUGCAUUGCAUGUGGAUGUAACCAGAUAGGCUCUUAUUAUCGCUUUUCUGUUGAUCUUUCAGGUCGUUCUGUGAGAAGCGAUGGAGACUCACGGGAACAGAGAAGAACCACGAACUUGGAGCCCAGACACCGUUCUGGGAAGCAACGAAGGGGAUCGCCGAUUGAUCAGACUCUGUCGGAGGUGCAGUACGCCCGUUUGGAAGAAGCAAGUUUAGCAAGACGGACAUACAGGCCUACUGUGUUGCACUGAAUAAGUCAAAUGUUUGGGCCAGUUUGUCGGGCGUUGCAAAAUGGAGACAUAGCCUAUUUUAUUUCUAGUUCCAAAUGAAUUCUGCGAUCUGAUCUUGUGAUUUUUUGAAA
Long non-coding RNA from Conger conger (European conger), 360 nucleotides. RefSeq lists it as uncharacterized. The record is from RefSeq and is a predicted model, not a curated record. The transcript is spliced from 4 exons. Lineage: Eukaryota; Metazoa; Chordata; Actinopteri; Anguilliformes; Congridae.